Molecule: unclassified non-coding RNA, 427 nt
Filed under: Hevea brasiliensis (rubber tree)
Lineage: Eukaryota; Viridiplantae; Streptophyta; Magnoliopsida; Malpighiales; Euphorbiaceae
Source: RNAcentral
AUCAAACAAACUAAUACACAUAAAACAAAGAAAAUUUUAUCAUGAAGAAAGCCACUUGCCAAUGCUAUGGUUUGGGGGGGAAAAAAAGAACUAAGAUACAGCGUUCAGCUGUAAGUGUUAAAGAUCAAAUAAACCACCCUCAGUUCUAUUAUGAAUGACUCAGUGAAUAGAAACAGACAAUUACGUGGUUAAUUAAAGUAGAAAAAUAAGACAAUUUUAAAAGGCAGUGAACUACUUGUAUAUUCUAUAUGUCAUUGCAAUGUUUUUAUUCCCAGUUGAGUUGUCAAACACAGCAAUUUCUUUCUGCUGAGCCAUCAUGGGACAAGUCCAGCAUUUAUGGCGCUUGACAAUCCAAGCUUGCUAAAUGCUAACUGUGAAAUAUCAAUUUCUCCAGUGGUAAAAAGUUUCUUCUUUUAUUUGCCAACCA